RNAcentral lists this ribosomal RNA (492 nucleotides) under Triticum aestivum (bread wheat). RNAcentral's name for it is "partial small subunit ribosomal RNA". Lineage: Eukaryota; Viridiplantae; Streptophyta; Magnoliopsida; Poales; Poaceae. The record is from RNAcentral.
AUGGAGAUAACAUUCAACGUGGAGUUUGAGGACCUCAGCAAACAUAUCCUUGAGAGAAAGAGCACCGAGACGAAGAUUGUCUGGGAGAUGCAUCAAGAAAAAAUGAAGGAGAAGCGUAAAGCUAGGAAGAGGUCGUCAAAGGAUGAUGAUGAGUAUAGUGAGGAAGAUAGUGCUCAUGGAAAUGAUGAUUUCUUUGAAGAUGAAAAGGAUGAUCAAGAAGAUACAACCAUUGGUGUAAAAGGGUUACAACAUAAAGUGCAAGAGAGUGCCACCUUCAUGCGAAAACAAGCCAGGAAGAAGGGUGCACAUGCAGAUGCAGGCACAUUGGACAGUGAACCGCCUAUGGAGGAAUUACCUCUGGUGAAUCCAGAUGAUACAUCUUCUAAGAAGACGAAUCGAAAACACGAUGGGGAGAAACUACAGAUGCUAUCUGCUGUCAAUUCUCUCAAAAGGAACCUUACCGCGAUCAAGAAAGCAAGCAUGAGCGACUGA